GAUGAACGCUGGCGGCGUGCCUAAUACAUGCAAGUCGAGCGAACAGACGAUGCGCUUGCUCCUCUGACGUUAGCGGCGGACGUGUGAGUAACACGUGGAUAACCUCCCUAUAAGACUGGGAUAACUUCGGGAAACCGGAGCUAAUACCGUAUAAUAUCUUGCACCGCAUGGUUCAUUAGUGAAAUACGGUUUUUCUGUCACUUCUAGAUGGAUCCGCGCCGCAUUAGCUCGUUGGGAAGGUAACGGCUUUCCAAGGCGACGAUGCGUAGCCGACCUGAGAGGGUGAUCGGCCACACGGGAACUGAGACAAGGUCCAGACUCCUACGGGAGGCAGCAGUAGGGAAUGUUCGGCAAUGGGCGAAAGCAUGACGGAGCAAGGGCGAGUGAGUGAUGAAGGUCUUCGGAUCGUAAAACUCUGUUAUUAGGGAAGAACAAAUAUGGAAGUAAAUAUGCACGUCUUGACGGUAACUAAUCAGAAAGCAACGGCUAACUACGUG
RNAcentral lists this ribosomal RNA (497 nucleotides) under uncultured bacterium. Its description in RNAcentral is "partial 16S ribosomal RNA". It matches the Rfam family "Bacterial small subunit ribosomal RNA", at positions 28 to 507 of the family's 1533-position model. The record is from RNAcentral.